This 274-nucleotide ribosomal RNA is filed under the name uncultured bacterium. RNAcentral's name for it is "partial 16S ribosomal RNA". It matches the Rfam family "Bacterial small subunit ribosomal RNA", at positions 523 to 796 of the family's 1533-position model. The record is from RNAcentral.
AUACGGAGGGUGCAAGCGUUGUCCGGAUUUAUUGGGUUUAAAGGGUGCGUAGGUGGCGUGUUAAGUCAGUGGUGAAAGCCUGCAGCUCGACUGUAGAGGUGCCAUUGAUACUGACAUGCUUGAGUAUGGACGAGGUAGGCGGAAUUUGUGGUGUAGCGGUGAAAUGCAUAGAUACCAAAAAGAACACCGAUAGCGAAGGCAGCUUACUGGACCAUAACUGACACUGAGGCACGAAAGUGUGGGUAGCGAACAGGAUUAGAUACCCUUGUAGUCC